This 556-nucleotide ribosomal RNA is filed under the name uncultured Pezizomycotina. RNAcentral's name for it is "SSU rRNA". It matches the Rfam family "Eukaryotic small subunit ribosomal RNA", at positions 196 to 766 of the family's 1831-position model. The record is from RNAcentral. Lineage: Eukaryota; Fungi; Ascomycota.
GGAAGGGRUGUAUUUAUUAGAUAAAAAACCAAUGCCCUUCGGGGCUCCUUGGUGAUUCAUAAUAACUUAACGAAUCGCAUGGCCUUGUGCCGGCGAUGGUUCAUUCAAAUUUCUGCCCUAUCAACUUUCGAUGGUAUGGUCUUGGCUUACCAUGGUUUCAACGGGUAACGGGGAAUUAGGGUUCUAUUCCGGAGAGGGAGCCUGAGAAACGGCUACCACAUCCAAGGAAGGCAGCAGGCGCGCAAAUUACCCAAUCCCGACACGGGGAGGUAGUGACAAUAAAUACUGAUACAGGGCUCUUUUGGGUCUUGUAAUUGGAAUGAGUACAAUUUAAAUCCCUUAACGAGGAACAAUUGGAGGGCAAGUCUGGUGCCAGCAGCCGCGGUAAUUCCAGCUCCAAUAGCGUAUAUUAAAGUUGUUGCAGUUAAAAAGCUCGUAGUUGAACCUUGGGCCUGGUUGGCCGGUCCGCCUCACCGCGUGCACUGGUCCGACCGGGUCUUUCCUUCUGAGGAGCCGCAUGCCCUUCACUGGGUGUGUCGGGGAACCAGGAUUUUAC